Prunus avium (sweet cherry) is the source of this 472-nucleotide non-coding RNA. The record is from RefSeq and is a predicted model, not a curated record. Lineage: Eukaryota; Viridiplantae; Streptophyta; Magnoliopsida; Rosales; Rosaceae.
AGGAUGCAUUGAUAACUUGUACAAGAGUGUAGAAGAUAUUGAUGGCCAAUACUUGAAGUCAACUUCCCACAAAACAAUUUUACUUAGUUCCAAGCUAGCCCCUGGUUUUAGCUAUGCUAACCAUCCUUUAGGAAUCGAGGGAGCCACUUUUCACUCUAAUGAAUCAGAGAAACCAGUUUUUGUAGACCCCAAACCACCCUAUAUUGAAGAUGAUUGUGUUGGAGGAUUCUUAAGAGCUCCGGCAAUGUUCAUGGUAACUGAUAGCCUGAUCGUAAGGUGGAGGGGAGUUACCUGUCACUGACAUUGAAGUGCAAUGAAUCUUGGCAAGGUGGAGACCUGAACUUCUACUUGGGGUGUCCAACUAUGAUGGGUUGAAGUUGAACAGAAGAAGGAUUUGAGUCUUUUGGUGGCUGCUUUUCUUUUUUACUCUCCUCUAACUGAUUUCUAUAGGAUGACAGAUCAAGAACAUUAA